AUGUCAUAUGUACUGAGGCACAAUUUGACAGGAGUAGCUCUUCAGGAUCUUCUUACAAUGUUUAAUGAACAUUUCCCUGGCUUGGUGCCAGCAACCUCAUAUCUUUUUCAUAAAGCGUAUGGACAGUUUGGCCACUAUGUGCCCCAUUUUUAUUGUAUCAACUGUGAAAGCUAUAUGGGACCCAGUGAGACAGCUCCAAAAGAUUGUUCUUCUUGUAAUGCUGAAUUUGACAUUGAGAGAAACUUAAGGGUUGGGUCUUACUUUCUUGUACUUAGUCUAUCAACCCAAAUAGUGGACAUUGUGAAAAAAUCUGGGAUGCAUUUAAAUGAAAGACAAUCAAUUCCAGGCAUUAUUUCAGAUAUUCAGUGUGGGGCUGAAUAUGAAAAACUCAAGAAGAGUGGACAAAUAGGGGCUGAUGACAUAUCACUAAUGUGGAAUUGUGAUGGAAUUCCAGUUUUCAACAGCAAUAAUUUUCAGAUAUGGCCAAUUCAGUGUCAAAUCAUAGAGCUGUCACCAAAAGAUCGCCAAGCCAACAUAUGUAUACCAUGCUUAUGGUUUGGUAAAAGCAAGCCAAAUAUGAUCACAUUUUUAACUGCAUUUGUGGCAGAGCUCAAGGAACUGGAACAGACUGGAAUUAAAUGGAUGGACUCUGAAAAUGUAGAGCAUACAAGCAAAGUUCAUUUACUCCUGUGCUCCUCAGAUUCAGUUGCUCGCCCCCUCCUGAGAAACACAAAACAGUUCAAUGGCAAAUAUGGGUGUGACUUCUGCCUUCACACUGGUGGUGGUCCAUAUGUCUGGGAAACCCCAGAACCACCUUUACGGACAGAGAUGGAUCAUUUUCUGCAUGCUAUGCUGGCAACACCUGCUAAUCCAGUAAUGGGUGUGAAAGGCCCAUCCCCUUUGAUGGAACUUGAGAGCUUCAAGAUGAUCACUGGAUUCAUUCCUGAGUACCAACACAGUGUCUGCCUGGGUGUCACUAAACAGAUUACAUCUCUCUGGCUAGACAGUAAGCACCAUAAUGAAGACUGGUACUUGGGCGGCAAGGUCAGUGAUAUAGACCAGGAAUUGCUGGCCAUUAAACCACCUGUGGAGGUCACAAGGGCCCCAAGAUCAGUGAAGGACAGAAAAUUCUGGAAAGCAUCUGAGUGGAGGUCAUUUUUGUUGUUUUAU
Molecule: long non-coding RNA, 1170 nt
Organism: Gadus morhua (Atlantic cod)
Lineage: Eukaryota; Metazoa; Chordata; Actinopteri; Gadiformes; Gadidae
Source: Ensembl